Molecule: transfer RNA, 68 nt
Filed under: Obscuroplaca camptidia
Lineage: Eukaryota; Fungi; Ascomycota; Lecanoromycetes; Teloschistales; Teloschistaceae
Description: Caloplaca camptidia tRNA-Cys
Rfam family: tRNA
About the family: Transfer RNA (tRNA) molecules are approximately 80 nucleotides in length.
Source: RNAcentral
GGAUAGGUUGUAAAAGGUUUACAGUUUGAUUGCAAAUCAAACAAUGGGGUUCGACUCCUCCCUAUCCC